UCCGAAAUCGCCCCCCACCGUUCUUCGGCGGGAGGAGCGGAGAUGGUCGUCCGUGCCCGCCAUGGGCGCGGUCGGCUGAAAUGAGCACGAGGUCCGUGGCCCACUCCACGACGAGCGGUGGCCCAUGAGGGUCGGCGUUGGUUCGUGUCGGGCGGGUGCGGCUCUGUGGGCAAACUUUAUCUCGUGGCCGGUGUCCCGCUUGCGGGCGGGGCCCGUUCGCAACCUU
Molecule: non-coding RNA, 226 nt
Filed under: Cephalotaxus mannii
Lineage: Eukaryota; Viridiplantae; Streptophyta; Pinopsida; Cupressales; Taxaceae
Source: RNAcentral